UACGUAGGGCGCAAGCGUUGUCCGGAAUUACUGGGCGUAAAGCGUGCGUAGACGGUUAUGUAAGUCGGGUGUGAAAGCCCCGGGCUCAACCUGGGAAUUGCAUUCGAGACUGUGUAGCUAGGGUACGGAAGAGGGAAGCGGAAUUUCAGGUGUAGCGGUGAAAUGCGUAGAUAUCUGAAGGAACACCAGUGGCGAAAGCGGCUUCCUGGUCCAGUACCGACGUUCAGGCACGAAAGCGUGGGGAGCAAACAGG
RNAcentral lists this ribosomal RNA (253 nucleotides) under uncultured bacterium. Its description in RNAcentral is "partial 16S ribosomal RNA". It matches the Rfam family "Bacterial small subunit ribosomal RNA", at positions 524 to 776 of the family's 1533-position model. The record is from RNAcentral.